GGAAAACCAAGGUGGGGGUGGGGAGGAAUUUCCUUCUUGCUGGUUUUGAGGAAGAGUGAGCCUGGGAAGAUUGCGGGGGAUCCGAGGGGAAGGCGAGCGUUUGACGUCAUCGUGCGUGUGGUGCCCCUGCUGCCGGGGCUGGUGAUUGGAGGAAACCCCGUGUCUGCGGAGCGGCUGUAGCCUGUGAGCAGCGAGAUCCAGGGACACAGUCUCAGCCUCGCCGCUGCCGCCCAGAGACUGCUGAGCCCCCGUCCGUCCGUCCGCCGCCACCCACUCCGGGCACAG
This is a long non-coding RNA of Herpailurus yagouaroundi (jaguarundi), 285 nucleotides long. RefSeq lists it as uncharacterized. The record is from RefSeq and is a predicted model, not a curated record. Lineage: Eukaryota; Metazoa; Chordata; Mammalia; Carnivora; Felidae. The transcript is spliced from 2 exons.